This 305-nucleotide ribosomal RNA is filed under the name uncultured bacterium. RNAcentral describes it as "bacterial SSU rRNA". It matches the Rfam family "Bacterial small subunit ribosomal RNA", at positions 333 to 636 of the family's 1533-position model. The record is from RNAcentral.
UUCUCCCUACGGGGGCAGCAGUGAGGAAUAUUGGUCAAUGGACGAGAGUCUGAACCAGCCAAGUAGCGUGAAGGAUGACUGCCCUAUGGGUUGUAAACUUCUUUUAUAUGGGAAUAAAAUGUUCCACGUGUGGGAUCUUGUAUGUACCAUAUGAAUAAGGAUCGGCUAACUCCGUGCCAGCAGCCGCGGUAAUACGGAGGAUCCGAGCGUUAUCCGGAUUUAUUGGGUUUAAAGGGAGCGUAGGUGGAUUGUUAAGUCAGUUGUGAAAGUUUGCGGCUCAACCGUAAAAUUGCAGUUGAAACUAG